Molecule: ribosomal RNA, 253 nt
Filed under: uncultured bacterium
Lineage: Bacteria
Description: partial 16S ribosomal RNA
Rfam family: Bacterial small subunit ribosomal RNA
Source: RNAcentral
UACGUAGGGGGCUAGCGUUGUCCGGAAUCAUUGGGCGUAAAGCGCGCGUAGGCGGACCUGCAAGUCGGGGGUGAAAGCCCGAGGCUCAACCUCGGAACUGCCUUCGAUACUGCGGGUCUCGAGUCCGGGAGAGGUGAGUGGAAUUCCUAGUGUAGAGGUGAAAUUCGUAGAUAUUAGGAAGAACACCAGUGGCGAAGGCGGCUCACUGGCCUGGUACUGACGCUGAGGCGCGAAAGCGUGGGGAGCAAACAGG